UACGAAGGGGGCUAGCGUUGCUCGGAAUCACUGGGCGUAAAGGGUGCGUAGGCGGGUCUUUAAGUCAGGGGUGAAAUCCUGGAGCUCAACUCCAGAACUGCCUUUGAUACUGAAGAUCUUGAGUUCGGGAGAGGUGAGUGGAACUGCGAGUGUAGAGGUGAAAUUCGUAGAUAUUCGCAAGAACACCAGUGGCGAAGGCGGCACUCUGGGCUGGAACUGACGCUGAGGAGCGAAAGCGUGGGUAGCAAACAGG
This 253-nucleotide ribosomal RNA is filed under the name uncultured bacterium. Its description in RNAcentral is "partial 16S ribosomal RNA". It matches the Rfam family "Bacterial small subunit ribosomal RNA", at positions 524 to 776 of the family's 1533-position model. The record is from RNAcentral.